RNAcentral lists this ribosomal RNA (380 nucleotides) under Pleurocapsa minor. RNAcentral's name for it is "bacterial SSU rRNA". It matches the Rfam family "Bacterial small subunit ribosomal RNA", at positions 398 to 793 of the family's 1533-position model. Lineage: Bacteria; Bacillati; Cyanobacteriota; Cyanophyceae; Pleurocapsales; Pleurocapsaceae. The record is from RNAcentral.
CGCGUGAGGGAGGAGGUUUUUGGAUUGUAAACCUCUUUUUUAAAGGAAGAAGAAAGUGACGGUACUUUAAGAAUCAGCAUCGGCUAACUCCGUGCCAGCAGCCGCGGUAAUACGGAGGAUGCAAGCGUUAUCCGGAAUCAUUGGGCGUAAAGCGUCCGCAGGUGGCUGUUCAAGUCUGCUGUUAAAGACAGAAGCUCAACUUCUGAACAGCAGUGGAAACUGGACGGCUAGAGUACGGUAGGGGUUGAGGGAAUUCCCAGUGUAGCGGUGAAAUGCGUAGAUAUUGGGAAGAACACCAGUGGCGAAGGCGCUCAACUGGAUCGUAACUGACACUCAGGGACGAAAGCUAGGGUAGCGAAAGGGAUUAGAUACCCCUGUAG